CGCUCUUCCUUCUGAGACUCAGGCCGCCGUGCCCAGGGACGAGCCCUUCCCCUCCCGGAGCAACUUCCUGCGGUUGGAGAACACUCUAGAGAGCCCUGGAGACCGCUGGUCUCCACCCAGGCUCCGGCUCCACUCUCAAGUUGCAGGGAGUGGCUUGAAGCAUCAGCAGGCUGUGCCUUCUGCCCGGGGACAGCAGGGAGGGUCAGGGCAGCUGUGCUGGCCGUCAGGAGUCGGGGUGGUCCGGGCCUGCGUCCCAGGGGAUGACGGCGGAGCACCGCACAUAGCUGGUCUCUGUUUGAUCCGAAUCCACACCCCGGGGGUUGGAACGCCCAGCUGCAUGUCACCUCACAGCGACAUCAGGCAGAAAGAAUUCAAACGCUGUCCCUGCCAGUCAGCCGGUGCCUCUACCCUCUGUGAGGAAAGCCGAGACGGCAUUCACUUCAACUCGGAUGGAAUUUCUCUCCAGGUUUGUUGCUGUAUUUACUUGCAGUAACCAAGGCUUUAAAACUUUGGUGAUGCAAUCUUUUCUGUUGUGCCUCUCAUUUUUAAAUACGAGCUUAUAUGGCAAAGCAAUUAGGUCAUUUUUGUUUCAGCUUCUGACUUACUUCUCUGACCCCGACAUGUUGCCACAGUCACUCAACUAGAUUGAGAAGCAACCUGACCUGAAUCACCUUUUUCACCAAAUAGUCACUAGCUUCCCUGUGCUGUGAUUUACCAGCAUGAUGAGAGUCAAGCUGAAGUUUAUUCAGGGGAAGGCGGAACGCAACCUUCCCGCCCCUCCCCAGUAGACUGAGCUCAGCCGGAGGCCACGAUACCAUGGCAACUUCCCUUUCAGUGACAUUAUUUCUAAUAAAUGACUGCCCCGUGGUUUACGGGGUGUUUCUACCCCCCACCCCCAGCAAAGCCAGCAGGGUUUGGGAGCAGGGCUAUUUCCUGUCCCCUCUACCCACUGGUUUCUGCUUCACCAUGAAAGAUCAGAAAAGUAUUUGAUGUUGGUUCUUGGAAUAGCAAUCAGUUAAUUAAAAUCCGAGUGUUUGGCCAAACUGAACGCAAACAGCACGGCUCUGGCAGCAGGCUGGUGUCAGAAAGUCGGGCAGGAAGCAGCACCCAUGGGGCAGAAACACAGGAAAUUCCUCUUGUCGGCCAGCUCUCCAUCUUUGGCCAGAAUAUAGGGCAUGGCCAUUGGAGGAGACAGAAAUACAGCCACCGUUCUUCUUUCCUUCUGGCUGAACACCCCGACUCUUCCAGCAGCCAGUCUCGCCACCUGAAAGACUCCGAGGAGGAGCUGAAACCAGCCUGCUCAGCUUUCCCCCCGAUUAGUCUUUCAGGUGUCAGGUCUGUCUUGCUAAGCCCCACGAUGCAGCCAAAGAGACCAAGGGAUAAAAAGAGAGCAGGAGAUCUGAGUGAUCCUUGCGUUUGACUGGUAGCACUACCCAGGGGCUGGCGAUAUAGCUCAGUGGCACAAGCACCUACCUGAGAGUGCUACCCUUCAAGAGACCUUCAUCUUGUGCCGAGAAGAGAGGUGUGAGCAGUGUUUGAGAUGGAAGACCACGGUCACCAUAUUUUGCCUUCUAAGAGACUCUUCCGUUGGAGGUCCUGCCCUGGUGGCUGGGUUGACUACCGCAUGCCAUCAAGUCUGGGACCAGCCAGGAGGAAGCAUCUCCUGGCUACUUGGGAGAUCCUGGAGGGAAAUGGACUUUUCUCUCUGCUUGUCCAUGUUAUGCCAAUCAAAGAUAUUUAAGUGGGAUAUACAGCAGCAAAUCUAGAUGCAGAGCACCAUGAUUACUGGAUGAGCACGUAAGGAUAUUCAGGAUGUCUAGCAGCAAGAGGAUGAUGAGGUUACCACUCACCCACCAUUGCUGGACACCCAGCAAGUCUGCUGUAGGCUUCACGGCACAGGUUUACGGCAUUCACGCUAAGAACAUGCAUCUUUCCGUUGAGUGUGCUUGCAUCUUGUGAGGCUCAGAGACAAGUCGCUCCUUAUUAGAUGGGGCUGGUAAACACAGCCUGUGCCUUGGCAGAAAUAAUCUGAACAUGUUUCCCGCAAUUUGCAAGAUGUACUUCCACGUGUGUGUAGAAGGUUUAUUUAAUUUUUUGCAUACCUGAAUAUUUUCAGUGCACUCAAAUUGUCUAUUGCAAUUGGCCAGGAGGCCAGUUCUAAGUGAUCUACAAGUCCGAGUGUUAACUGUGUAUCUGGAACAGGACCCCAAUCUCCUGUGUUCAAGGUAUAAAUAUUGUUGUCCCCAUUAAAGAACUGACUGCAGCAAAACAGGUGGACGAUGAGUUUGAAGGUCACUGAUGCAGGCGGUGAAGGGAGACAUGUUAUUUACACAGUGGACAUGCAUUUGUGCACUUGCGGGGACCAUGCUGAACUGGCUGCCUUGCAUUUCAUGACACGUAUGCAGUAAGCAGUAAAAUUCAACAAGUUUGUCUUGCAAUUCAAAGGAAGUUACUUGCUCACUUUAACCUCUGUAGUUCUCUUUGAUGUUCAGAUAACUGAAAGAGUGACAUGGAGGAAUAAAAUGAUUUUACAGCUAGGAGAGGCUGUAUAUAUGUUUAACUCCGUAUGCUUUUCUAGGCGAACAGUGUGAGGUCUGGAGCAGUGGGGAAAUGGUCCAUAGAACACGCAAAGGGAAGAGGAUGGGAACAGGGAAAUACAGUCCUCUUUUCGCAAAUUGUCAGCCUGGCGCUCCCCACUGACUCCUUCUCUUCCAUUUAUCAUUACUGCCAAACUCCCUUCACAGUUCAAAGAGGUAAAUAAUUAAAUACCAAACUCCCACAACCCCAGACACCCACUUCCCUGCAGAAGGCUCCUCGUAACCACCCCAACUCUUCUGCAGAGCCACACAUUCCCAAGCAGCUGAGGUUGGGUCUCCUACACGGUUCCCAGUCUGCACCGGUUAUAGCUGGGGCCCACUGCAAUCCCUGAGAAGGUUCACUGUGUUGAAAGUUUGGCUGCCGGUGGGGUGUUGAAGGUGACGGGUCGCUGAUCCACUAGAGAGGUACAAUUUGACGCUAUUACUGGGGGUGAUGGAAGCAAGACUCGGGGUUGCCUGAAGAGAGUGUGUGUAUGUGUAUCACAGCAUUUAGACAAGGUAAGAUGUCUCUCCUCAGGAGGGGAACUGGACUUUUAGGCAUCAUUAGACAGGAAUGAGUGAAGAGGAACCAGCUCAGUUAUAGCAUGAGGGCUGUGAGAAAGAGUGAGCUGUUUAUACUUUUUAGUGGCUUUUUAUCAAAGUAUGACAGCUGGAAGGGAGGCCAGGGUUGGAAAGAAAGACUGAGAGACACGUGCCAGCUGGCAAUAGGCAGUUGUUUCUUUUCUCCAUAGUCCUGAUUUUCUGGGGCUCGUCUGCGGAGAUGAUGGCCUGGCCAGAGGGAGAAGGCGGACAGCGCCCCAGAGCACUUUAGUUUUGUGGGGCUAACUGGUAAGAUGGGUCUGACCUCUGCCACUUUUGUCUCAGGGGCAGUCUGAGUUUUAGUGGUCACUUUUUUUUUUUUUUUUCCUGUACCAGGAAUCGAGCUCACAACCUCGCGCUUGCCAGGCAGGCAUUGUGCUGCUGAGCUAAAUCCCCAGCCCCUAGUGGUCACUUCUGCAAUCAGGGCAUGGCGUAGGGGACCUCUUGUCAUGUUGGUUUUUACUGUAGUCUUUUUAAAGGUGGCCUGGCUUUUUGUAGUGGUGAGUUUAGUCAUUCAGCUUUUUGGGAGCCCCAAGAAUCAGACACAGAGUUUAAUUGUUUAAGGUUGUAACUGAGGCAGCCACUUGUUCUUGGUCUUUUUUUUUUUUUUUUUCUCUUUGGUCUAUUUUUGGUCUUGAUUAUAAACUGUGGAGACAUCAAUUUUUAUUAAAGUAUUGAUUGAGCUAUUUGGAGUAAAAACCAUCUUCUGUAGCUUUUUUUAAAUGUUGGAGGCUGACUGGGUAAUAAACUUGUUUUUAACAAUAACGUGUCUUUUUAUUGAAUCAGGAGCUAGAGACGUAUGAUUUAUCAGUGUCUCUUAUAAAUGAUCUAAGAAGACAGAGAGGUUUUUGUCUUUUUUUAAUGAAUAGUUGACAAUUUAAAAUAACUGAAGACUUUGUUUUUAUCUUUCUUUAGAUGUUUGGUUGAGAUAGGUCAGUAGCCAUCCUGUGCAGGGACUCUUGGGCUGUAGUAGGAGCUGGCUGUUUUGUCUUUGUUUUUGUUUUUUGCCUGUCUCACUUUGGGCCUUUUAAAAUUAACAA
Molecule: long non-coding RNA, 4216 nt
Filed under: Chinchilla lanigera (long-tailed chinchilla)
Lineage: Eukaryota; Metazoa; Chordata; Mammalia; Rodentia; Chinchillidae
Description: lncRNA (ENSCLAG00000026668.1)
Source: RNAcentral